UGCAGUCGUACGAGAGUUUUUAACUCAAGUGGCGGACGGGUGAGUAACACGUAAGAAUUUGCCUUUAGGAGGGGGAUAACAACUGGAAAUGGUUGCUAAUACCCCAUAUGCUUUCGAGUGAAAUGGUUUUUCCGCCUAAAGAGAAGCUUGCGGCUGAUUAGCUUGUUGGGGAGGUAAUGGCUCACCAAGGCGACGAUCAGUAUCUGGUUUGAGAGGACGAUCAGACACACUGGAACUGAGACACGGUCCAGACUCCUACGGGAGGCAGCAGUGGGGAAUUUUCCGCAAUGGGCGAAAGCCUGACGGAGCAAUACCGCGUGAGGGAUGACGGCCUAUGGGUUGUAAACCUCUUUUUUCAGGGAGGAAUAAAUGACGUGUACCUGAGGAAUAAGCAUCGGCUAACUCCGUGCCAGCAGCCGCGGUAAUACG
RNAcentral lists this ribosomal RNA (429 nucleotides) under uncultured organism. RNAcentral's name for it is "bacterial SSU rRNA". It matches the Rfam family "Bacterial small subunit ribosomal RNA", at positions 56 to 527 of the family's 1533-position model. The record is from RNAcentral.